Molecule: ribosomal RNA, 730 nt
Filed under: Microbacterium sp. G135
Lineage: Bacteria; Bacillati; Actinomycetota; Actinomycetes; Micrococcales; Microbacteriaceae
Description: bacterial SSU rRNA
Rfam family: Bacterial small subunit ribosomal RNA
Source: RNAcentral
ACCAUGCAAGUCGAACGGUGAACACGGAGCUUGCUCUGUGGGAUCAGUGGCGAACGGGUGAGUAACACGUGAGCAACCUGCCCCUGACUCUGGGAUAAGCGCUGGAAACGGCGUCUAAUACUGGAUAUGUGACGUGACCGCAUGGUCUGCGUCUGGAAAGAAUUUCGGUUGGGGAUGGGCUCGCGGCCUAUCAGCUUGUUGGUGAGGUAAUGGCUCACCAAGGCGUCGACGGGUAGCCGGCCUGAGAGGGUGACCGGCCACACUGGGACUGAGACACGGCCCAGACUCCUACGGGAGGCAGCAGUGGGGAAUAUUGCACAAUGGGCGCAAGCCUGAUGCAGCAACGCCGCGUGAGGGACGACGGCCUUCGGGUUGUAAACCUCUUUUAGCAGGGAAGAAGCGAAAGUGACGGUACCUGCAGAAAAAGCGCCGGCUAACUACGUGCCAGCAGCCGCGGUAAUACGUAGGGCGCAAGCGUUAUCCGGAAUUAUUGGGCGUAAAGAGCUCGUAGGCGGUUUGUCGCGUCUGCUGUGAAAUCCGGAGGCUCAACCUCCGGCCUGCAGUGGGUACGGGCAGACUAGAGUGCGGUAGGGGAGAUUGGAAUUCCUGGUGUAGCGGUGGAAUGCGCAGAUAUCAGGAGGAACACCGAUGGCGAAGGCAGAUCUCUGGGCCGUAACUGACGCUGAGGAGCGAAAGGGUGGGGAGCAAACAGGCUUAGAUACCCUGGUAG